This 1294-nucleotide ribosomal RNA is filed under the name uncultured Bordetella sp. RNAcentral's name for it is "partial 16S-23S ribosomal RNA intergenic spacer". It matches the Rfam family "Bacterial small subunit ribosomal RNA", at positions 11 to 1310 of the family's 1533-position model. The record is from RNAcentral. Lineage: Bacteria; Pseudomonadati; Pseudomonadota; Betaproteobacteria; Burkholderiales; Alcaligenaceae.
GUCUGGAUUAUGGCUCAGAUUGAACGCUGGCGGGAUGCUUUACACAUGCAAGUCGAACGGCAGCACGGACUUCGGUCUGGUGGCGAGUGGCGAACGGGUGAGUGGGGUCAUCGAACGUGCCUAGUAGCGGGGGAUAACUACGCGAAAGGUAGCUAAUACCGCACAUGCCCUUCGUGGAAAGCGGGGACCUUCGGGCCUCGGCACUAAUAGAGCGGCCGAUAUCGGAUUAGCUAGUUGGUGGGGUAAUUACCAAUUACAAGGAUGAUCCGUAGCUGGUUUGAGAGGACGACCAGCCACACUGGGACCGGAGACACGCCCAGACUCCUACGGAGGCAGCAGUGGGGGGAAUUUUGGACAACGGGGAAACCCCGAUCCAGCCAUCCCGCGUGUGCGAUGAAGGCCUCGGGUUGUAAAGCACUUUUGGCAGGAAAGAAACGGCACGGGAUAAUACCCCGUGCAACUGACGGUACCUGCAGAAUAAGCACCGGCUAACUACGUGCCAGUUAAGUCGCGUGUAAUACGUAGGUGCAAGCGUUAAUCGGAAUUACUGGGCGUAAAAGCGUGCGCAGGCGGUUCGGAAAGAAAGAUGUGAAAUCCCAGAGCUUAACUUUGGAACUGCAUUUUUAACUACUGAGCUAGAGGGCCAGAGGGAGUGAAUUCCCGCGUAGCAGUGAAAUGCGUAGAUAUGCGGAGGAACACCGAUGGCGAAGGCAGCCUCCUGGGGAUAACACUGACGCUCAUGCACGAAAGCGUGGGGAGCAAACAGGAUUAGAUACCCUGGUAGUCCACGCCCUAAACGAUGUCAAUCUUAGUUGUUGGGGCUUCCUUUCGGGCCUGGUAGCGCAGCUAACGCGUGAAGUUGACCGCCCGGGGAGUACGGUCGCAAGAUUAAAACUCAAAGGAAUUGACGGGGACCCGCACAAGCGGUGGAUGUGGGGAUUACCCGAUGCAACGCGAAAAACCUACCUACCCUUGACAUGUUCCAACUGAAGAGAUUUGGGGAGUGUCGCAAGAGAACCGGAACACAGGUGUUGUAUGGCUGUCGUCAGCUCGUGUCAGGAGAUGUUGGGUUAAGUCCUGCAACGAGCGCAACCCUUUGCUUACAUAGCAUGAAAGGGCACUCUAAUGAGACUGCCGGUGACAAACCGAGGAAGGUGGAUGACGUCAAGUCCUCAUGGCCCCCCCGCGGGGUAGGGCUUCACACGUCAUACAAUGGUCGGGACAGAGGGUCGCCAACCUGCGAGGGGGAGCCAAUCCCAGAAACUCCGAUCGUAGUCCGGAUCGCAGUCUGCAA